Molecule: ribosomal RNA, 497 nt
Filed under: uncultured bacterium
Lineage: Bacteria
Description: partial 16S ribosomal RNA
Rfam family: Bacterial small subunit ribosomal RNA
Source: RNAcentral
GAUGAACGCUGGCGGCGUGCCUAAUACAUGCAAGUCGAGCGAACAGACGAGGAGCUUGCUCCUUUGACGUUAGCGGCGGACGGGUGGGUAACACGUGGGUAACCUACCUAUAAGACUGGGAUAACUUCGGGAAACCGGAGCUAAUACCGGAUAAUAUUUCGAACCGCAUGGUUCGAUAGUGAAAGAUGGCUUUGCUAUCACUUAUAGAUGGACCUGCGCCGUAUUAGCUAGUUGGUAAGGUAACGGCUUACCAAGGCAACGAUACGUAGCCGACCUGAGAGGGUGAUCGGCCACACUGGAACUGAGACACGGUCCAGACUCCUACGGGAGGCGGCAGUAGGGAAUCUUCCGCAAUGGGCGAAAGCCUGACGGAGCAACGCCGCGUGAGUGAUGAAGGUCUUCGGAUCGUAAAACUCUGUUAUUAGGGAAGAACAAACGUGUAAGUAACUGUGCACGUCUUGACGGUACCUAAUCAGAAAGCCACGGCUAACUACGUG